Salvia splendens (bonfire salvia) is the source of this 2522-nucleotide long non-coding RNA. RefSeq lists it as uncharacterized. NCBI's taxonomy places the organism in Eukaryota, Viridiplantae, Streptophyta, Magnoliopsida, Lamiales, Lamiaceae. The record is from RefSeq and is a predicted model, not a curated record. The transcript is spliced from 2 exons.
CCCUCAUUUCAUCCCCCUUUUCCAAAAAUUCCCAAACGAAAGCCCUAGCUCCCUCUCCCUCCUUCUCGGUGAUGACAACGAUUCACCACCGUCGUUCACCGCCGUCGUUCACCAACAGCUCCCUCUUUACCUCCCUCCGUUCCUCCCCCUCUCGUCGCUUUCACUUCUGAACCGAUCGGAUACAUCCUUUCAUUGAGGGAAAUUGAACCCUAGGUAGACAUCGAACGAGCGCCGUCGCCUUUCCCCUUCUUCCUCUGCUAGUCGAUCGCUGGCCGUCGUUCACCGCCGUCCCCAGCCGGCGCCGCGGCUGUGAAGCCGUCUGCCUCGCCGUCCCGGUGCCAUCGGAGCAGAAAAGAGGGGCGUCGCCUCUCGGGGAGACCGCCGUCGAGCUUGACCGCGGUCGGCCGUGCUGCCGUCGUCACGCACCCGGCACGCCUCUGACCUCGCAGGUCUUCCUCAGCACAUGCCGGCGCAUGCCCCAGCUGCCUCACGGCAGCUUUCGUACUCCGUCGUCCAUCGAUCUCGCUCAAGCUAAGUUUCCUAAUCAUUUAUCGUUUGGUGUAGAAUUUCCUUAUCUCUAAGUUAUGCAAUUUUUAGGAAAUCUAGGUUGUAGAUUCAGUAGGAAAAGUUCGACCAUUUGAGUUCGAUUGAAGUGAUUCUACUAUACGCCUACAUUCCAGUUAUGAUUUAGGAUGCCCUCAACAAAAUUUAGGCAGUGGCUUGUGAGGAUAGUGUCGUAUGGUGUUGCUACUGUUUUACUUGCUCAUCUAGUGUUAUUAUCAUGCUUAAGCUCUGAAACGAUGGGGUCUUUGCAUGCUUGUGAUUUACAUGAUGCUAUGAGCUAUAUGAGCCUGAAUUUUGGUUGUUGGAUGAGUUACCUGCUGAAAUCUGCGGUUGGUUUGAACACAGCUCCUAGAUGUGUGAGAGAGGGUUCUCGUUGGUGUGGAGAGGGUCCUUAAAUAGGCAAAGUGUGUGCUUAUGAGGGGUUUAAAUGGGGGCUGAUUCAUUGUUCUCCUGCACUGUACAUCUCUUGUCCUUGGCCCCCGGUGCAGCUUUCUAUUGAGAACGUUUUGGUGUUAAUACUGAAAUACCGCUCUUACCGUAUCGAAAAAAUACCAAAAAUACCGGAUUUUCGGUAUACCGCAAUUUUCGGUAAGGUAUCAUACCUUACCGAUUUAUUUCGGUACGGUAACGGUAUGAAUUUUCAUAUACCGAGGUAUACUGGGGUGUACCGAAAAUACGGUAUAUACCGUAAUUUUAAGUAUAUACCGAAAAUAUGGUAUAUACCGUAAUUUUAAGUAUAUACUGAUAUCAAUAUAUGCCAAAUUAUAUCAAGUAAAUUCAUACUUUUACCAAACAAAUAAAUAUUUACAUGUAGAAAUCAAAUCUUGCCUCAUUAUAGUUGUCGGGUAAUCAUGUAAAUAUAAAAUCAAAUAAACUCAAUUAGGAAAACUUGAUAUCGUUGAAUCAAUUAGUUUAAAACAAAUAUAAGAUUUUAGUUAAAUUAGUUCCAAACAAAUAUCGUUGAACGUUAUGUGAUUGCGUGGAGUUUAAUUGUUGCAGUUUUUUUAUUGAAUAUGUUUGAGUUUGAUUAAAUUUCAUGUUUUCUAAGUAUUUUAGAAAUUUUAUUUUCAUUUGUGUUUGUAUUUAGAAUUAUUUACAAAAUAAUGAUAUUUUGGUAUGUCGUAUUGUAGUCCGAUAUAUCGUAAAACUCUGGUAUACCGCAAAAGUACGGUAUACCGAAUUUAGAUAUGACAUACUGAAAAUAAGGUAUGGCAUCGAUAUUGAAAUUUGUCAUACCGAAAAUAAGGUAUACCGAUGUUCGAUAUACCGAAAAUUUUGGUAAGGUAAAGGUAUGAUUUUUUUUCAUAUCGAAUUUUCGGUAAGGUAUACAGUAUGAUGGUUUCGGUAAGGUAUGAUACCUUACCGAAAAUUGGAGUACUUAGGUACUUGCUAAUUAAUUCCAUCUUGUUCCCACCUGAAAUACCUAGUACUUGGCUAAUAAUGAGGCUUGUUUGUUGUGGCAGGUGCACAAGAAGGGGCAGAGGUAUGAUUUGUCGGUUGUUGCAGCUGGAGAGGCUGCCUUGUUUGUCUCGUGGCAGCCUUUGCCAGGCUAGGGAGUGCAGGAGUUGCAGGGCUGACCUUGCCCUCUUUAGGCAAGGCUCAUCCUCAUUAUUGAGAAGGGGCAAGGGAACUGACCACCCUCGGCUGAUCCGGGCCCAACAGUCCAUCAAAAAUCAUGCCGAAAUCCGGGCCUAACAGAGAGGCCCGAAGUUGGCGUUCCUAGCGUUGUAAUAGGAUAGGGUCCUUUUUUUGUUUUGCUCUUCUCCUUUUCUUUCUCGAACAAGUGUAGCUGAACGUUUUAGUUAGGGAAAAAUUCACGUUGUUUUCACCUCGACAUUCUUGUGUAUUAUUUUCCUCUAUUUUUAUUAUUAUAUAUUUUUGUAAGCUAAGACAUAGCUCGGAAUCUAAUACGUUGUAUUUUAUUUAAUUAAGGAAUAAACGAACGCAUAUUCAUUCUA